RNAcentral lists this ribosomal RNA (250 nucleotides) under uncultured bacterium. RNAcentral describes it as "partial 16S ribosomal RNA". It matches the Rfam family "Bacterial small subunit ribosomal RNA", at positions 524 to 774 of the family's 1533-position model. The record is from RNAcentral.
UACGUAGGUGGCGAGCGUUGUCCGGAAUUAUUGGGCGUAAAGAGCAUGUAGGCGGUUUUUUAAGUCUGGAGUGAAAAUGCGGGGCUCAACCCCGUAUGGCUCUGGAUACUGGAAGACUUGAGUGCAGGAGAGGAAAGGGGAAUUCCCAGUGUAGCGGUGAAAUGCGUAGAUAUUGGGAGGAACACCAGUGGCGAAGGCGCCUUUCUGGACUGUGUCUGACGCUGAGAUGCGAAAGCCAGGGUAGCGAACG